GACGAACGCUGGCGGCGUGCUUAACACAUGCAAGUCGAACGGAAAGGCCCUGCUUUUGUGGGGUGCUCGAGUGGCGAACGGGUGAGUAACACGUGAGUAACCUGCCCUUGACUUUGGGAUAACUUCAGGAAACUGGGGCUAAUACCGGAUAGGAGCUCCUGCUGCAUGGUGGGGGUUGGAAAGUUUCGGCGGUUGGGGAUGGACUCGCGGCUUAUCAGCUUGUUGGUGGGGUAGUGGCUUACCAAGGCUUUGACGGGUAGCCGGCCUGAGAGGGUGACCGGCCACAUUGGGACUGAGAUACGGCCCAGACUCCUACGGGAGGCAGCAGUGGGGAAUAUUGCACAAUGGGCGGAAGCCUGAUGCAGCAACGCCGCGUGCGGGAUGACGGCCUUCGGGUUGUAAACCGCUUUCGCCUGUGACGAAGCGUGAGUGACGGUAAUGGGUAAAGAAGCACCGGCUAACUACGUGCCAGCAGCCGCGGUGAUACGUAGGGUGCGAGCGUUGUCCGGAUUUAUUGGGCGUAAAGGGCUCGUAGGUGGUUGAUCGCGUCGGAAGUGUAAUCUUGGGGCUUAACCCUGAGCGUGCUUUCGAUACGGGUUGACUUGAGGAAGGUAGGGGAGAAUGGAAUUCCUGGUGGAGCGGUGGAAUGCGCAGAUAUCAGGAGGAACACCAGUGGCGAAGGCGGUUCUCUGGGCCUUUCCUGACGCUGAGGAGCGAAAGCGUGGGGAGCGAACAGGCUUAGAUACCCUGGUAGUCCACGCUGUAAACGGUGGGUACUAGGUGUGGGGUCCAUUCCACGGGUUCCGUGCCGUAGCUAACGCUUUAAGUACCCCGCCUGGGGAGUACGGCCGCAAGGCUAAAACUCAAAGGAAUUGACGGGGCCUCGCACAAGCGGCGGAGCAUGCGGAUUAAUUCGAUGCAACGCGUAGAACCUUACCUGGGUUUGACAUGGAUCGGGAGUGCUCAGAGAUGGGUGUGCCUCUUUUGGGGUCGGUUCACAGGUGGUGCAUGCCUGUCGUCAGCUCGUGUCGUGAGAUGUUGGGUUAAGUCCCGCAACGAGCGCAACCCUUGUUCACUGUUGCCAGCACGUUAUGGUGGGGACUCAGUGGAGACCGCCGGGGUCAACUCGGAGGAAGGUGGGGAUGACGUCAAGUCAUCAUGCCCCUUAUGUCCAGGGCUUCACGCAUGCUACAAUGGCUGGUACAGAGAGUGGCGAGCCUGUGAGGGUGAGCGAAUCUCGGAAAGCCGGUCUCAGUUCGGAUUGGGGUCUGCAACUCGACCUCAUGAAGUCGGAGUCGCUAGUAAUCGCAGAUCAGCAACGCUGCGGUGAAUACGUUCCCGGGGCU
RNAcentral lists this ribosomal RNA (1346 nucleotides) under uncultured bacterium. RNAcentral's name for it is "partial 16S ribosomal RNA". It matches the Rfam family "Bacterial small subunit ribosomal RNA", at positions 28 to 1381 of the family's 1533-position model. The record is from RNAcentral.